CCCCGCCUCGCUGCCUCUGAUUGGUCAGGUUAAUCCUUGGGCUUUCUGAGCCGGACUUGAAGGACUUUGCACUCAGGAAAGGGAAGGGCCACUGCGUGGGGGUUUCGAAAGAAAAAAUGUCCUAAGUUACCCUGUGUCCCAGUCCUGUUGAAAUGUUUUCCUGGAAGACUCCAUGGAGAUAUGGUCUGCACUGUCCAGCCUUCCACCAGAUGAGGUAGUUGUCAGCAACAAGCAGUAAAUAU
This is a long non-coding RNA of Myotis davidii, 242 nucleotides long. RefSeq lists it as uncharacterized. NCBI's taxonomy places the organism in Eukaryota, Metazoa, Chordata, Mammalia, Chiroptera, Vespertilionidae. The transcript has 3 exons. The record is from RefSeq and is a predicted model, not a curated record.